UGGGGAAUAUUAGACAAUGGGCGCAAGCCUGAUCUAGCCAUGCCGCGUGAGUGAAGAAGGCCCUAGGGUUGUAAAGCUCUUUCAGAUGUGAGGAUGAUGACAGUAACAUCAGAAGAAGCCCCGGCUAACUUCGUGCCAGCAGCCGCGGUAAUACGAAGGGGGCUAGCGUUGUUCGGAAUUACUGGGCGUAAAGGGCGCGUAGGCGGACUGGUCAGUUUGGUGUGAAAGCCCGGGGCUCAACCUCGGAACUGCAUCAAAUACUGCCAGUCUAGAAUCCCGGAGGGAGUGUGGAAUUUCUAGUGUAGAGGUGAAAUUCGUAGAUAUUAGAAAGAACACCGGUGGCGAAGGCG
RNAcentral lists this ribosomal RNA (350 nucleotides) under uncultured bacterium. Its description in RNAcentral is "bacterial SSU rRNA". It matches the Rfam family "Bacterial small subunit ribosomal RNA", at positions 355 to 723 of the family's 1533-position model. The record is from RNAcentral.